Small nucleolar RNA from Ricinus communis (castor bean), 107 nucleotides. The record is from RefSeq and is a predicted model, not a curated record. NCBI's taxonomy places the organism in Eukaryota, Viridiplantae, Streptophyta, Magnoliopsida, Malpighiales, Euphorbiaceae.
UAACCAUGAUGAAGGCGCCUCCUUUAUAACUCCUUAAACUUUUUCCAUGCUUCAUAAAGUGACUCAUAAUCCUUUUGGUAGAAACUAGCAAUCUUCUAUAUGAUCUC